UACGUAGGCAGCAAGCGUUGUUCGGAGUUACUGGGCGUAAAGGGUGUGUAGGCGGCUUUCUAAGUUUGUUGUGAAAUCUCCCGGCUUAACCGGGAGGGUGCGGCGAAGACUGGAAGGCUAGAGUAUGGGAUGGGAGAGUGGAAUUCCUGGUGUAGCGGUGAAAUGCGUAGAUAUCAGGAGGAACACCUGCGGUGUAGACGGCUCUCUGGACCAUUACUGACGCUGAGACACGAAAGCUAGGGGAGCGAACAGG
This 253-nucleotide ribosomal RNA is filed under the name uncultured bacterium. RNAcentral's name for it is "partial 16S ribosomal RNA". It matches the Rfam family "Bacterial small subunit ribosomal RNA", at positions 524 to 776 of the family's 1533-position model. The record is from RNAcentral.